Molecule: long non-coding RNA, 1718 nt
Filed under: Nicotiana tabacum (common tobacco)
Lineage: Eukaryota; Viridiplantae; Streptophyta; Magnoliopsida; Solanales; Solanaceae
Description: long non-coding RNA (NTAB_LNC016971)
Source: RNAcentral
UUGAAGAAGUGACGAAGCACCCCAUUCUUGCAAUUUGUCAAAGAAGGCUAGGUGAAGCAUUUCGUGCUUGGGGCUUGGUGAGAAAGAGUCUUGAGGCGACCGUACUUCAUCCUUGACGAGCUAGCACGUGGCACAUUUCAUCCCUGUGGAUUGGCGCGGAAGAGGCAUAUGAAGUCUCUUUUUAACCUUGGAGACAAAAUCCCUACUCUUGGAGGUGUGGAGAGAUAAUAUUUCAUCAUUGGCGAGCCAACAUGUACCACAUUGCAUCAUUGCAGGUUGACGAGGAAGACAACUAGAGUAGGCCUUUCUAACUUUGAUGAACAAACGCUUAGCGCGUCUCUGAAAAAAUAUUUAUUUCUCAAUGCAGGAGCGAUGAAAUCACAAGAUGCUUCUUCCUAAAGAAUCGUAACUCAAUGGGCUGUAAUACAUAAAACAUUCAGUACCAAAUUCCUUGAGAAUUAGCCGCAAUAUUUUUUUGAAACCGAUAAAUGUGCCCAGCAUUUUAACUUUACAGCAUUAUACAGUCUCGCCAAAAGAUUGAUAUCUCGAGCUAGGAGUGUCCGAAUCGCAAUCCGUUUGUGCCAUUGGAAAGAAAACUCUGACACCUAUCAUACCUGAAAAUUACAUGGUAGGAUUCCUGUCAUAAUGGCUGAAAUAAUAUUCUGAAGUUACUCCUAAUGUCUGUCGUGCUUGCAAUCCAGCUUUGCGCACUCCUGUCGAAAAAUUCAUAUCUCGAGCUAGGAGACUCCAAAUUGCAAUCCGUUUGCGCUGUUAGAAUAUAAAUCAUAGAUCUGAAAACAUACGAAUUUAAUGGCAGAAAUUCUUUCUAGAUGGAAAUAGAAAAUUCUCAAAAUCCACCUAGCUGCAGUAACUUUCAGAUUCGUAUAGUUCUGGCGAAAGAAAUAAUAUCUUGAGCUAGGAGACUCCAAAUUACAAUCUGUUUGCUCUGUUAAAAUUAAACCCAUAGAGAUGCAACAAAUAUGAAUUUCAUCACCGAAUUCUUUUAGAGUUGGAAACAGAAAAUUUUCAAAGUAUGACCUACCUGUAGUAAACUUUUAGAUUCGCGCAGUUCCGACAACAAAAAUCGUAUCUUGAGCUAGGAGCCUACGAAUCGCAAGCGGAUUGUGUUUUUGGAGAUUAGGAAUCCAAAUCUAAAACAUAUAAAAAUUUUGGGGCAGAACUUCUUCCGGAUGGACCGCAGUAGUUUUCCAAAUCUGAUCCCGUCGUCCGUUGAGCUCGCUUCCCUUCUCUAUACUCUCUGAGUUGCCCUAUGAAUGUUAUUGUUUUCUUGAAAUUGACUCUACAGUCUUGCAUAUAGAAACUUUAGCUAUUAUUCUUCAUAAAUCUUAUCUCUUUAUUUAUUUCUUUUGCAGACUUGCAAAGAAGCUCAAAGAGUCUGGAUAUCAGACCGAGGUGUCAUACAAGAUGUAGAGUCACCCCUCCAUCAACUAUUGCACUUGAUUUGUUGAAAGUCCUGAAGUUCAUCAAUGGUGGCUCCCAUGGUGAUUGGGACCUUCAACAAACAAUUGAGGAUGGCAUCAAAUGUGGAGAUGUCAUACAGACUUGGAAAAGCAUUUAGACGCGUCAGCAACAAAGCCUAGUUUACGAUCAUCUUCAUAAUUUAGGCUUUUGUAUAGAAAAAUGUCUAGUUCCUGUUGUCUCUACAUUUUUAGAUGUAUCAACUUUUGUACUAUUAAAGCAAUAAAAUAUCUUUAGUU